UCCCUGGUGGUCCAGUGGUUAGGACCCCGGGCUUUCACUGCUGUGGCCCAGGUUCAGUUCCUGGGCAGGGAA
RNAcentral lists this transfer RNA (72 nucleotides) under Bos taurus (domestic cattle). It matches the Rfam family "tRNA". Rfam says of the family: Transfer RNA (tRNA) molecules are approximately 80 nucleotides in length. Their secondary structure includes four short double-helical elements and three loops (D, anti-codon, and T loops). Further hydrogen bonds mediate the characteristic L-shaped molecular structure. tRNAs have two regions of fundamental functional importance: the anti-codon, which is responsible for specific mRNA codon recognition, and the 3' end, to which the tRNAs corresponding amino acid is attached (by aminoacyl-tRNA synthetases). tRNAs cope with the degeneracy of the genetic code in two manners: having more than one tRNA (with a specific anti-codon) for a particular amino acid; and 'wobble' base-pairing, i.e. permitting non-standard base-pairing at the 3rd anti-codon position. The record is from Rfam by way of RNAcentral. RNAcentral also lists the same sequence under 7 other names. Lineage: Eukaryota; Metazoa; Chordata; Mammalia; Artiodactyla; Bovidae.